RNAcentral lists this ribosomal RNA (54 nucleotides) under Perilla frutescens var. frutescens. Lineage: Eukaryota; Viridiplantae; Streptophyta; Magnoliopsida; Lamiales; Lamiaceae. The record is from RNAcentral.
GCGCUGGCGAAUGUCUAGGAUGGGUGACCCCCUGGGAGUCCUCGUGUUGCACCC